Molecule: long non-coding RNA, 275 nt
Organism: Pistacia vera
Lineage: Eukaryota; Viridiplantae; Streptophyta; Magnoliopsida; Sapindales; Anacardiaceae
Exons: 3
Source: RefSeq, a predicted model, not a curated record
GGUUUGAUCGUGGUGGGACUUUGUGGUUCCAGAACUUGACUGAAUUCCCUCAUGGUCUUUUAGGCCCCAUCUUUCCAAUAGUGAUAGCUGCUCUCCACUCCUCUAAUGUUGAGAUUUCUUUUAGGAAAUCUUCACUUGAAAGACAAGAAGGCAUGCAUGGCUUACCGACAAAAAUGAGUUGCUAACAGUUUUGUUUAGGUUUGCUUACUGCUAUAUUAGUAAAUUCUAAAUUUUUUACUGUCUAGAUUUUAUGUUCACGUCAAUUGUGAGAAUAA